CAGCCGCCGCGGUAAUGCGUAGGUGGCGAGCGUUGUCCGGAAUUAUUGGGCGUAAAGGGAGCGCAGGCGGACAUAUAAGUCCAUCUUAAAAGUGCGGGGCUCAACCCCGUGAGGGGAUGGAAACUGUAUGCCUUGAGUGUAGGAGAGGAAAGCGGAAUUCCCAGUGUAGCGGUGAAAUGCGUAGAUAUUGGGAGGAACACCAGUGGCGAAGGCGACUCUCUGGUCUGUAACUGACGCUGAGGCUCGAAAGCGUGGGUAGCAAACAGGAUUAGAUACCCCCGUAGUCCCUGUCUCUAUACAC
RNAcentral lists this ribosomal RNA (301 nucleotides) under uncultured bacterium. RNAcentral's name for it is "partial 16S ribosomal RNA". It matches the Rfam family "Bacterial small subunit ribosomal RNA", at positions 509 to 809 of the family's 1533-position model. The record is from RNAcentral.